UCCUUCGGGAAUGGAUUAGGGGCGAACGGGUGAGGAACACGUGAGAAACUGCCUUUCAUUGGGGAUACUCGGAACGGGUAACGAUACUCGUCUCUGGGUCGGAGCGGAAAAAUUUGUGAAGAGUCUCGCGCUUCAGUAUGUGGUAUGUCACAGGACGACGGUAGCGGCUGAGAGGGACGCACUGGGACUGAGACCGCAGAUCUACGGAGCAGCAGGGGAUUGGGCAUGGGCGCAGCUGACCCAGCGACGCGCGUGAGGGAUGAAGCUUCGGGUUGUAACCUCUUUCAGCGGAAUAGCGAAGUGAAGUACCUGCAGAAGAAGCACCGGCUAACUAUGUGCCAGCAGCCGCGGUAAUACAUAGGGUGCAAGCGUUGUCCGGAAUUAUUGGGCGUAAAGAGCUCGUAGGUGGUCGAUACGUCGAUUGUGAAAAUCUGAGGCUUACCUCAGACCUGCAUUCGAUACGGGUUGACUGGAGUGUGGUAGGGGAGACUGGAAUUCCUGGUGUACGGUGGAAUGCGCAGAUAUCAGGAGGAACACCGAUGGCGAAGCAGGUCUCUGGCCAUUACUGACACUGAGGAGCGAGAGCGUGGGGAGCGAACAGGAUUAGAUACCCUGGUAGUCCACCCGUAAACGGUGGGCGCUAGUUGUGGGAACCUUCCACGGUUUCUGCGACGCAGCUAACGCAUUAAGCGCCCCGCCUGGGGAGUACGGUCGCAAGACUAAAACUCAAAGAAAUUGACGGGGCCCCGCACAAGCAGCGGAGCAUGCGGCUUAAUUCGACGCACGCGAAGAACCUUACCAAGGCUUGACAUAUACAGGAAUACGGCAGAGAUGUCGUAGCCGCAAGGUCUGUAUACAGGUGGUGCAUGGUUGUCGUCAGCUCGUGUCGUGAGAUGUUGGUUUAAGUCCCGUAACGAGCGCAACCCUUGUCCCUAGUUGCCAUCAUUCAGUUGGAACUCUAGGGAGACCCCGGUGAUAAACCGGAGGAAGGUGGGGACGACGUCAAGUCAUCAUGCCCUUUAUGACCAGGGCUACACACGUGCUACAAUGGUCGGUACAGAGGGUUGCCAAGCCGCGAGGCGGAGCCAUCCCACAAGCCGAUCGUAGUCCGGAUUGGAGUCUCACUCGACUCCAUGAAGUCG
This 1142-nucleotide ribosomal RNA is filed under the name uncultured Actinomycetes bacterium. RNAcentral describes it as "bacterial SSU rRNA". It matches the Rfam family "Bacterial small subunit ribosomal RNA", at positions 76 to 1328 of the family's 1533-position model. Lineage: Bacteria; Bacillati; Actinomycetota; Actinomycetes. The record is from RNAcentral.